UCCCUGGUGGUCCAGUGGUUAAGACUCUGAGCUUCCACCCCAGGGGCCGAAGGUUCAAUCCCUGGUCAGGGAA
RNAcentral lists this transfer RNA (73 nucleotides) under Bos taurus (domestic cattle). It matches the Rfam family "tRNA". Rfam says of the family: Transfer RNA (tRNA) molecules are approximately 80 nucleotides in length. Their secondary structure includes four short double-helical elements and three loops (D, anti-codon, and T loops). RNAcentral also lists the same sequence under 5 other names. Lineage: Eukaryota; Metazoa; Chordata; Mammalia; Artiodactyla; Bovidae. The record is from Rfam by way of RNAcentral.